RNAcentral lists this long non-coding RNA (419 nucleotides) under Salvia miltiorrhiza (redroot sage). Its description in RNAcentral is "long non-coding RNA (SMIL_LNC003418)". Lineage: Eukaryota; Viridiplantae; Streptophyta; Magnoliopsida; Lamiales; Lamiaceae. The record is from RNAcentral.
GGAGAAUGUGGAGCUCCAUGUCUGCCGUCUUGCCGUCAACUCCUUAACCUGAAAAGAAUCAUAAAUAAUAGGGUAUGAGUGUGCAAGCACACUCAGUGGGGUAAACACUGCAAGCAGUUAUAACCAAUUGUGUAAUGAAUCAUAACAUGUUGAACUCUUAUAUUUUUCACUUAGCUGACAUCUUGUGAGACUAGUCUCGGUCCCUUGUGGACCUGACCCCUUGUGGGCCGUUCAGCUCUUUGAUCCCUUGUGGAUCCGACCCCUUGUGGGUCCCAUUAGUUCAUAUGAAUGACGCACAACACAACAAUGAUUAUAACCAUGUAACAACUACGCUUACAGAUAAAAGUAAACCUCACCUUAAGUGAUUGAAUUCAAACCUCUUCAAGCUUGCUUCGGUUGUCCUCCUCGAGCCUUGGAUG